Molecule: unclassified non-coding RNA, 327 nt
Filed under: uncultured Microascaceae
Lineage: Eukaryota; Fungi; Ascomycota; Sordariomycetes; Microascales
Description: sequence contains ITS1
Rfam family: 5.8S ribosomal RNA (bases 1-105)
Source: RNAcentral
GAAAUGCGAUAAGUAAUGUGAAUUGCAGAAUUCAGUGAACCAUCGAAUCUUUGAACGCACAUUGCGCCCGGCAGUAUUCUGCCGGGCAUGCCUGUCCGAGCGUCAUUUCUGCCCUCGAGCGCGGUUCGGCCCCAGGGCCGUCCGCCGCCCGGCGUUGGGGCGCUACGGGGACGUCCCCGUAGGCCCCGAAAUGUAGUGGCGGUCCCGCCGCGGCGCCCCCUGCGUAGUAGACAUACAACCGCAUCGGGUCCCGGCGGAGGCUAGCCGUCAAACCUUUACUUCUGAUAGUUUGACCUCGGAUCAGGUAGGGUUACCCGCUGAACUUAA